Long non-coding RNA from Rhinolophus ferrumequinum (greater horseshoe bat), 520 nucleotides. RefSeq lists it as uncharacterized. The transcript is spliced from 4 exons. The record is from RefSeq and is a predicted model, not a curated record. NCBI's taxonomy places the organism in Eukaryota, Metazoa, Chordata, Mammalia, Chiroptera, Rhinolophidae.
GCUGCUAAAGCCCAAAAGUCUGAUGCGAAAAAAGCAUCAUCUGUGACUAAAGGAACACAGACUUCCUCUCAGUUCCCUGGGACUCCCUCUACUCCCUGGCUGGUUAUAAUGCCACGACUUGGAUCGAUCAGAUCCAUCACUGGAGUCCUAGACCCCUCACCAGGACCUGAAGUGUGAGCUUUUAAAAACUGUGUCUUUAUCCUGACUGACCAGGGAAUCCACUGCAGGACAUAGCUGGAAAUAUGGGAUGUAUUACCGAGGCUGUGACUGGAUCUUUAUAUUGAGAAUGAUGUGCAUUGAAUCAGAUAUGUCCUGACAACUUUAAGAACUAAGAUUGACUCGGAGAAGCUAAUGCUUAUGAAGUGCCUCCUAGAAAAACCAGCCUGUACCCGUCUUACUGGAUUCCCAACCAGACAGAAUCUCCCUUUCAUUAAAUGCCUGGUGACUAGCAAUAUCCAGCAAAUACCUGCUACUACCACGACUCAACAGAAGAUUCAGCCAAUCCUUAAUGGAAAAAAAA